GACGAACGCUGGCGGCGUGCUUAACACAUGCAAGUCGAACGGAAAGGCCCUGCUUUUGUGGGGUGCUCGAGUGGCGAACGGGUGAGUAACACGUGAGUAACCUGCCCUUGACUUUGGGAUAACUUCAGGAAACUGGGGCUAAUACCGGAUAGGAGCUCCUGCUGCAUGGUGGGGGUUGGAAAGUUUCGGCGGUUGGGGAUGGACUCGCGGCUUAUCAGCUUGUUGGUGGGGUAGUGGCUUACCAAGGCUUUGACGGGUAGCCGGCCUGAGAGGGUGACCGGCCACAUUGGGACUGAGAUACGGUCCAGACUCCUACGGGAGGCAGAAGUGGGGAAUAUUGAAAAAUGGGCGGAAGCCUGAUGCAGCAACGCCGCGUGCGGGAUGACGGCCUUCGGGUUGUAAACCGCUUUCGCCUGUGACGAAGCGUGAGUGACGGUAAUGGGUAAAGAAGCACCGGCUAACUACGUG
This 468-nucleotide ribosomal RNA is filed under the name uncultured bacterium. Its description in RNAcentral is "partial 16S ribosomal RNA". It matches the Rfam family "Bacterial small subunit ribosomal RNA", at positions 28 to 507 of the family's 1533-position model. The record is from RNAcentral.